Molecule: ribosomal RNA, 253 nt
Filed under: uncultured bacterium
Lineage: Bacteria
Description: partial 16S ribosomal RNA
Rfam family: Bacterial small subunit ribosomal RNA
Source: RNAcentral
UACAGAGGGUGCAAGCGUUAAUCGGAAUUAUUGGGCGUAAAGGGCGCGUAGGCGGCUUUGCAAGUGACGGGUGAAAGCCCUCGGCUUAACCGAGGAACUGCCUGUCAGACUGUAAGGCUUGAGACCGGGAGAGGUGAGUGGAAUUCCGCGUGUAGCAGUGAAAUGCGUAGAGAUGCGGAGGAACACCGAUGGCGAAGGCAGCCCCCUGGGCCAACACUGACGCUCAGGCACGAAAGCGUGGGGAGCAAACAGG